CAAAUCCAAAGGGUGAUUUUUUGGGUUCAUGUUUGUCUUGUUAAAAGUGUUUUAAGGUGACUUUUGUAACCCCUAAGUACCCUAGGAUGUUAACAUCAUUUUGAAUGGUUCUGAUCCUGGGCUUGCACUGAUAUCGUCUUGUACCGUUCUAGGUACAACUCAUAUCAAUGUUUUUCAUACAAUAUGAAAUACAUAAAUCACCUUUCUGCGUAUGCAUAAAGGAUUCUAUAUACGCAUUAUUUUUUUGGGAGUCAAAGAGUACGUUCUCUUUGAGAAGAGCAACUUCUUAGUCUCACUAGAGUUGUCCUUUUGAUUGAAGUUCUUCAUCAUAUGAGAAACUUCCUAUCAUCUUUUGUCUAUAUUUAGGGCUUGAUAUAAUCCAAUUAUAUCCUAAAAUCUAUCAUUAUAUAUUUCCAUCCCAUGUUUAUAGACUAUGUCUCCCAUAUACAUUCUAUCGUUAUAGAAUAUUUAAAGUCAUAACUUUAACAAAGAAGUAUUCUGUUCAUUUCCAAAAUUAAUAUAUCAUAUAUUUGUAUACAUAUAUAUUCAUAUUUAGGAACAUGAUUAACUCCCACUAAUCUUUUGUAAACCUAGUAAACAAAAGAUUCAUUUACAUCUUUAUGAGAAAUCAAACAAUUUGAUCCUUUUCUCAUAAGAUGCUCAUAGCUCCCACUAGCUUGCUUAGAUUCAUGAUGGAUGGAUCUCUACAACUUACAUGUCUUGUGAUUCAUAGUUUUAGACAUAUAUUAUUAAGACUAUCUUAAUAAUGGUUUCGGAAACCCAUAUUAUGUCCAAACAUUGAAUCACCAUUUAGUUAUAGCUAGCAAUCUUCGAAUUAAUUGAAACUAAGACUACGUCAAAGAUGGUUUCUUCAAAGUCAACC
RNAcentral lists this long non-coding RNA (883 nucleotides) under Malus domestica (apple). Its description in RNAcentral is "long non-coding RNA (MDOM_LNC018863)". Lineage: Eukaryota; Viridiplantae; Streptophyta; Magnoliopsida; Rosales; Rosaceae. The record is from RNAcentral.